This 446-nucleotide long non-coding RNA is filed under the name Olea europaea (common olive). RNAcentral's name for it is "long non-coding RNA (OEUR_LNC003649)". Lineage: Eukaryota; Viridiplantae; Streptophyta; Magnoliopsida; Lamiales; Oleaceae. The record is from RNAcentral.
CCGUGAAGAUUAUAUCAACGAGCUUAUCAGGAGAAUGAACUAGAUUGUGUCACUUCUAUUUUGUUGGUGAAUUGAGGUUUUUUGUUUCAUAUUUGAAGUUGUAGAAUUCUCUGUUUCCUUUUCAUUUUUCCUUGGAUAGCUAUCAUGCCGUUAAAGAUUGAUUUUGUUUUGAGAUUUGUACGAGAAUCUAUUAAUUUAAGGCUUAGCGUGCAUGGUAUCUGUUUAACGCGAGGCUUUCAUCUUCUCUGUUUGAUGGUCAUACUAGGCUUAUGCUUCCACCUUGAUGAUGUUAAUUGCUAUUGCUCUACCUUUACUUAACAAGCGUGCCAUGAUUUUGUAUGCUAGAGUAUCUUCAUUCAUGUUUCAUAGAGAUAAAAUGGUCUGAAGUGACAACUACAAAUUUCUUGCUUCAGCUAUUAUGAGUAAAAAGUUCCACUGAACUUUGC